Molecule: ribosomal RNA, 399 nt
Filed under: uncultured bacterium
Lineage: Bacteria
Description: bacterial SSU rRNA
Rfam family: Bacterial small subunit ribosomal RNA
Source: RNAcentral
AAUCAACGCUGGCGGCGUGCCUAACACAUGCAAGUCGAACGCGAAAGCCCCGCAAGGGGUAAGUAGAGUGGCAAACGGGUGAGUAACACGUGGGUGACCUGCCCUCGAGUGGGGGAUAACGUCCCGAAAGGGACGCUAAUACCGCAUAAUAUGCCGCCUUUUAAGAGGUGGACAUCAAAGCUGGGGAUCGCAAGACCUAGCGCUUGAAGAGGGGCCCGCGCCUGAUUAGCUAGUUGGGGGGUAAUGGCUCACCAAGGCAACGAUCAGUAUCCGGCCUGAGAGGGCGACGGACACACUGGGACUGAGACACGGCCCAGACUCCUACGGGAGGCAGCAGUGGGGAAUUGUUCGCAAUGGGCGCAAGCCUGACGACGCAACGCCGCGUGGAGGAUGAAGACC